Molecule: ribosomal RNA, 253 nt
Filed under: uncultured bacterium
Lineage: Bacteria
Description: partial 16S ribosomal RNA
Rfam family: Bacterial small subunit ribosomal RNA
Source: RNAcentral
UACAGAGGGUGCAAACGUUGUUCGGAAUUACUGGGCGUAAAGCGCGUGUAGGCGGUUGGCUAAGUCGACUGUGAAAGCCCAUGGCUCAACCAUGGAAGUGCAGUCGAUACUGGCCAACUGGAGUCCCGGAGAGGGUGGUGGAAUUCUCAGUGUAGAGGUGAAAUUCGUAGAUAUUGAGAGGAACACCGGUGGCGAAGGCGACCACCUGGACGGGUACUGACGCUGAGACGCGAAAGCGUGGGGAGCAAACAGG